CAAUAGCGUAUAUUAAAGUUGUUGCAGUUAAAAAGCUCGUAGUUGGAUUUCUGGAUGGAGCGACCGGUCGGGCAUUAAUUUGUCUGCACUGGAGUCGGUUCCGUCCAUCCUCUUGGAAAGUGCGUCGGGCAUUAAGUUGGUUGGCGUAUGAUCCAAGUCGUUUACUGUGAAAAAAUUAGAGUGUUUAAAGCAGGCCUUCGCCUUGAAUACAUUAGCAUGGAAUAAUAAGAUAGGACUUUGGUCUAUUUUGUUGGUUUGCAGACCGAAGUAAUGAUUAAUAGGGAUAGUUGGGGGUAUUUAUAUUCCGAUGUCAGAGGUGAAAUUCUUAGAUUUUCGGAAGAUAAACUUAUGCGAAAGCAUUUACCAAGGAUGUUUUCAUUAA
This 382-nucleotide ribosomal RNA is filed under the name uncultured eukaryote. RNAcentral's name for it is "partial 18S ribosomal RNA". It matches the Rfam family "Eukaryotic small subunit ribosomal RNA", at positions 592 to 976 of the family's 1831-position model. The record is from RNAcentral.